This 1432-nucleotide ribosomal RNA is filed under the name Ophiosphaerella herpotricha. RNAcentral describes it as "eukaryotic LSU rRNA". It matches the Rfam family "Eukaryotic large subunit ribosomal RNA", at positions 1 to 1453 of the family's 3401-position model. Lineage: Eukaryota; Fungi; Ascomycota; Dothideomycetes; Pleosporales; Phaeosphaeriaceae. The record is from RNAcentral.
UGACCUCGGAUCAGGUAGGGAUACCCGGUGAACUUAAGCAUAUCAAUAAGCGGAGGAAAAGAAACCAACAGGGAUUGCCCUAGUAACGGCGAGUGAAGCGGCAACAGCUCAAAUUUGAAAUCUGGCUCUUUCAGAGCCCGAGUUGUAAUUUGCAGAGGGCGCUUUGGCGUUGGCAGCGGUCCAAGUUCUUUGGAACAGGACGUCACAGAGGGUGAGAAUCCCGUACGUGGUCGCUAGACUUCGCCGUGUAAAGCCCCUUCGACGAGUCGAGUUGUUUGGGAAUGCAGCUCUAAAUGGGAGGUAAAUUUCUUCUAAAGCUAAAUACUGGCCAGAGACCGAUAGCGCACAAGUAGAGUGAUCGAAAGAUGAAAAGCACUUUGGAAAGAGAGUCAAACAGCACGUGAAAUUGUUGAAAGGGAAGCGCUUGCAGCCAGACUUGCCUGUAGUUGCUUAUCCAGACUUCUGUCUGGUGCACUCUUCUAUAGGCAGGCCAGCAUCAGUUUGGGCGGUUGGAUAAAGGUCUCUAUCACGUACCUCUCUUCGGGGAGGCCUUAUAGGGGAGACGCCAUGCAACCAGCCCAGACUGAGGUCCGCGCAUCUGCUAGGAUGCUGGCGUAAUGGCUGUAAGCGGCCCGUCUUGAAACACGGACCAAGGAGUCUAACAUCUAUGCGAGUGUUUGGGUGUCAAGCCCAUACGCGUAAUGAAAGUGAACGGAGGUGGGAACCUUUUAGGUGCACCAUCGACCGAUCCUGAUGUCUUCGGAUGGAUUUGAGUAAGAGCAUGGCUGUUGGGACCCGAAAGAUGGUGAACUAUGCUUGAAUAGGGUGAAGCCAGAGGAAACUCUGGUGGAGGCUCGCAGCGGUUCUGACGUGCAAAUCGAUCGUCAAAUUUGGGCAUAGGGGCGAAAGACUAAUCGAACUAUCUAGUAGCUGGUUCCUGCCGAAGUUUCCCUCAGGAUAGCAGUAACGUAUUCAGUUUUAUGAGGUAAAGCGAAUGAUUAGAGGCCUGGGGGUUGAAACAACCUUCACCUAUUCUCAAACUUUAAAUAUGUAAGAAGUCCUUGUUACUUGAUUGAACGUGGACACUUGAAUGUACCGUUACUAGUGGGCCAUUUUUGGUAAGCAGAACUGGCGAUGCGGGAUGAACCGAACGCGGGGUUAAGGUGCCAGAAUAUACGCUCAUCAGACACCACAAAAGGUGUUAGUUCAUCUAGACAGCAGGACGGUGGCCAUGGAAGUCGGAAUCCGCUAAGGAGUGUGUAACAACUCACCUGCCGAAUGAACUAGCCCUGAAAAUGGAUGGCGCUCAAGCGUAUUACCCAUACCCCGCCGCCGGGGCAGAAUUUAUGCCCCGGCGAGUAGGCAGGCGUGGAGGCUCGUGACGAAGCCUUGGGGGUGACCCCGGGUCGAACGGCCUCUAGUGCAGAUCUUG